RNAcentral lists this non-coding RNA (1155 nucleotides) under Ovis aries (sheep). RNAcentral's name for it is "Eukaryotic large subunit ribosomal RNA". It matches the Rfam family "Eukaryotic large subunit ribosomal RNA", at positions 2391 to 3399 of the family's 3401-position model. Lineage: Eukaryota; Metazoa; Chordata; Mammalia; Artiodactyla; Bovidae. The record is from Rfam by way of RNAcentral.
GAAUCAGCAGGGAGAGAAAACCCUGUUGAGCCUGCUUCUAGUCUAGCAUGGUGAAGAGAAAUGAGAGGUGCAGAAUAAGUGGGAGGGCCCCUGGUGCCCCACCUCCCCUGUCCCUGCGAGGCAGCGGGGUGGGGUGCACCGCCCUUGCAGGCCACCAGUGAAAUAUUCUGAUCAUUCUUUCACUGACCGAGUGAGGCGCAGGGGUGGGGAGAGCGGAGUGUGUGGCAGUUGCAAGCCCUAACAGGCUCUCAUUUCUGGUGCCAAGUGCCCCACCGGGGCCAGUGCCAGGUGGGGAGUUUGACUGAGGCCGUAUACCUGCAAAUGGUGUCCUAAGGCGAGCUCAGAGAGAACAGAAACCUCCCAUGGAACAGAAGGGCAAAAGCUCACUUGAUCUUGAUUUUUAGUACAAAUACAGACCGUGAAAGCGGAUCCUCACGAUCCUUCUGACCUUUGGGGUUUUAAGCAGGAAGUGUCAGAAAAGUUACCACAGGGAUAAUUGGCUUGUGGUGGCCAAAUGUUCAUAGUGACAUUGCUUUUUGAUCCUUUGAUGUCGGCUCUUUCUAUCAUUUUGAAGCAGAAUUCCCCAAGCGUUGGGGUGUUCACCCACUAAUUGGGGAAGUGAGCUGGAACUAGACUGUGGUGAGACAGAUUAGUUUUACCCUACUGAUGUGUUGUUGCCAUGAUAAUCCUGCUCAGUAGGAGAGGAACUGCGGGUUCAGACAUUCGGUGUAUGUGCUUGGCUGAGGAGUAAAUGGGUCAAAGCUACCAUCUGUGGGAUUAUGACUGAAUGCCUCCAAGUCAGAAUCCCAUCCAGGCAGAACAAUAUGGCAGCGCUGGGAAUCCUCAGCCAGUGCCCUGCCAUCCCUGCCAGCGGCCUGCCACCCAUGUCCCUCUGUGCACAGCAUGGCGUGCCCUGCUGCAUGCUGGGACCAGGUCAUGUAUUAGGACCGGGUGUGGUGCAGAAAGCCUUUCAUCCUAAGACAAGGGCCACAGUCAGAAAGGCAGCUGCCCUCUCGCCUGUCACCACCACAGGUUUGCGGGGAACCUGGUGCUAAACCAUUGGUAGAUGACCUGCUUCUGGGUUGGGGUUUCAUAGGCAGCAGAGCAGCUCCCUUGCUAUGAUCUAUUGAAAGUCAGUUCUGGACACAAGGGUUU